Molecule: unclassified non-coding RNA, 309 nt
Organism: Callithrix jacchus (white-tufted-ear marmoset)
Lineage: Eukaryota; Metazoa; Chordata; Mammalia; Primates; Cebidae
Rfam family: Metazoan signal recognition particle RNA
About the family: The signal recognition particle (SRP) is a universally conserved ribonucleoprotein.
Source: Ensembl
GUGGGGCACAGUGCCGCAUGCCUAUAGUACCAGCUACUCGGGAGGCUGAGGUGGGAGGAUUACUUCAGCCCAGGAGUUCUGGGCUGUAGCGCGCUAUGCCGAUCAGGUGUCCACACUAAGUUCAGCAUCAAUAUGGUGACCUCACCAGAGCGGAGGGCGGGGGGGACCACCAGGUUGCCUAAGGAGGGGUGAACCCGCCCAGGUCGGAAAUGAAGCAAGUCAAAACUCCUGUGCUGAUCUGUAGUGGAAUUGCAUCUGUGAAUAGCCACUGCAUUCCAGCCUGAGCAACAUAGUGAGACCCCGUCUCUA